This 2562-nucleotide ribosomal RNA is filed under the name Escherichia coli. Its description in RNAcentral is "partial 23S ribosomal RNA". It matches the Rfam family "Bacterial large subunit ribosomal RNA", at positions 397 to 2925 of the family's 2925-position model. Lineage: Bacteria; Pseudomonadati; Pseudomonadota; Gammaproteobacteria; Enterobacterales; Enterobacteriaceae. The record is from RNAcentral.
CUGUGAGCUCGAUGAGUAGGGCGGGACACGUGGUAUCCUGUCUGAAUAUGGGGGGACCAUCCUCCAAGGCUAAAUACUCCUGACUGACCGAUAGUGAACCAGUACCGUGAGGGAAAGGCGAAAAGAACCCCGGCGAGGGGAGUGAAAAAGAACCUGAAACCGUGUACGUACAAGCAGUGGGAGCACAGAGCAAUCUGUGUGACUGCGUACCUUUUGUAUAAUGGGUCAGCGACUUAUAUUCUGUAGCAAGGUUAACCGAAUAGGGGAGCCGAAGGGAAACCGAGUCUUAACUGGGCGUUAAGUUGCAGGGUAUAGACCCGAAACCCGGUGAUCUAGCCAUGGGCAGGUUGAAGGUUGGGUAACACUAACUGGAGGACCGAACCGACUAAUGUUGAAAAAUUAGCGGAUGACUUGUGGCUGGGGGUGAAAGGCCAAUCAAACCGGGAGAUAGCUGGUUCUCCCCGAAAGCUAUUUAGGUAGCGCCUCGUGAAUUCAUCUCCGGGGGUAGAGCACUGUUUCGGCAAGGGGGUCAUCCCGACUUACCAACCCGAUGCAAACUGCGAAUACCGGAGAAUGUUAUCACGGGAGACACACGGCGGGUGCUAACGUCCGUCGUGAAGAGGGAAACAACCCAGACCGCCAGCUAAGGUCCCAAAGUCAUGGUUAAGUGGGAAACGAUGUGGGAAGGCCCAGACAGCCAGGAUGUUGGCUUAGAAGCAGCCAUCAUUUAAAGAAAGCGUAAUAGCUCACUGGUCGAGUCGGCCUGCGCGGAAGAUGUAACGGGGCUAAACCAUGCACCGAAGCUGCGGCAGCGACGCUUAUGCGUUGUUGGGUAGGGGAGCGUUCUGUAAGCCUGCGAAGGUGUGCUGUGAGGCAUGCUGGAGGUAUCAGAAGUGCGAAUGCUGACAUAAGUAACGAUAAAGCGGGUGAAAAGCCCGCUCGCCGGAAGACCAAGGGUUCCUGUCCAACGUUAAUCGGGGCAGGGUGAGUCGACCCCUAAGGCGAGGCCGAAAGGCGUAGUCGAUGGGAAACAGGUUAAUAUUCCUGUACUUGGUGUUACUGCGAAGGGGGGACGGAGAAGGCUAUGUUGGCCGGGCGACGGUUGUCCCGGUUUAAGCGUGUAGGCUGGUUUUCCAGGCAAAUCCGGAAAAUCAAGGCUGAGGCGUGAUGACGAGGCACUACGGUGCUGAAGCAACAAAUGCCCUGCUUCCAGGAAAAGCCUCUAAGCAUCAGGUAACAUCAAAUCGUACCCCAAACCGACACAGGUGGUCAGGUAGAGAAUACCAAGGCGCUUGAGAGAACUCGGGUGAAGGAACUAGGCAAAAUGGUGCCGUAACUUCGGGAGAAGGCACGCUGAUAUGUAGGUGAAGUCCCUCGCGGAUGGAGCUGAAAUCAGUCGAAGAUACCAGCUGGCUGCAACUGUUUAUUAAAAACACAGCACUGUGCAAACACGAAAGUGGACGUAUACGGUGUGACGCCUGCCCGGUGCCGGAAGGUUAAUUGAUGGGGUUAGCGCAAGCGAAGCUCUUGAUCGAAGCCCCGGUAAACGGCGGCCGUAACUAUAACGGUCCUAAGGUAGCGAAAUUCCUUGUCGGGUAAGUUCCGACCUGCACGAAUGGCGUAAUGAUGGCCAGGCUGUCUCCACCCGAGACUCAGUGAAAUUGAACUCGCUGUGAAGAUGCAGUGUACCCGCGGCAAGACGGAAAGACCCCGUGAACCUUUACUAUAGCUUGACACUGAACAUUGAGCCUUGAUGUGUAGGAUAGGUGGGAGGCUUUGAAGUGUGGACGCCAGUCUGCAUGGAGCCGACCUUGAAAUACCACCCUUUAAUGUUUGAUGUUCUAACGUUGACCCGUAAUCCGGGUUGCGGACAGUGUCUGGUGGGUAGUUUGACUGGGGCGGUCUCCUCCUAAAGAGUAACGGAGGAGCACGAAGGUUGGCUAAUCCUGGUCGGACAUCAGGAGGUUAGUGCAAUGGCAUAAGCCAGCUUGACUGCGAGCGUGACGGCGCGAGCAGGUGCGAAAGCAGGUCAUAGUGAUCCGGUGGUUCUGAAUGGAAGGGCCAUCGCUCAACGGAUAAAAGGUACUCCGGGGAUAACAGGCUGAUACCGCCCAAGAGUUCAUAUCGACGGCGGUGUUUGGCACCUCGAUGUCGGCUCAUCACAUCCUGGGGCUGAAGUAGGUCCCAAGGGUAUGGCUGUUCGCCAUUUAAAGUGGUACGCGAGCUGGGUUUAGAACGUCGUGAGACAGUUCGGUCCCUAUCUGCCGUGGGCGCUGGAGAACUGAGGGGGGCUGCUCCUAGUACGAGAGGACCGGAGUGGACGCAUCACUGGUGUUCGGGUUGUCAUGCCAAUGGCACUGCCCGGUAGCUAAAUGCGGAAGAGAUAAGUGCUGAAAGCAUCUAAGCACGAAACUUGCCCCGAGAUGAGUUCUCCCUGACUCCUUGAGAGUCCUGAAGGAACGUUGAAGACGACGACGUUGAUAGGCCGGGUGUGUAAGCGCAGCGAUGCGUUGAGCUAACCGGUACUAAUGAACCGUGAGGCUUAACCUUACAACGCCGAAG